ACAGUAUAGUUUUAGGUAGAACACAUCACCCACCUGAGAUCAAGGUUAGCGAACGGCGAAUCUAAUGGAGAAACCAUAAGCACUAAAUAUGCAGAAUUAUUGUAUCGGUCUGCACAUCACCCAUUCGAGAACUAAUAUGUGUUUUGUUCACGCAACAAGAGCAUACAUAUAAGAAAUAUUGGCCUUUCAGGAAUAUUCCACCGGUACUGUCUCCGCUCACACAGAAGAACGGAUGAUUAAAUCCUGGUGUCAAGGCCAACGAACUCCAAGAAGAACAUUGGGUGUUACAGAUACAAGGUUUGGUAUGUACUCAUGUGUAACUAUUUUGUUGUGUUGUAAUUUUUCGAUCAAUUCCUACGGGCAGUAAGCUUAACCUUUGCGAGCAUUCAGUUCUGAUUUAGGCUACAUCUUAUUCUUAGAGGAUUUUUGUUCCAUCAGUGCAUGUUGCAAACAUGACCAUUCAUGCAUAUUUUUGGCGGAUAAUCAACUGGCAGCGUAUUUGUGAAUGAAUAAUAAUAAUCGUAAGCUGGCAUUUUUAUGAUAAAUAUGGAAGGAGGUGGUCAUGCCUGAUGUGUUACUAUCCUACCUAGGUUAGGUGUUUAGGCUCAUGUCAUAUUGUGUUGGUGUGUACGCUGGUGGGAUCUGUGUACCCAAUUGAGUUAUUAUCGAGAAGGCCUGGCGUUUUGAAAGCAUGUCUGAGCUCUUUCCUAUGAACAUGCGAGUUACCGCGGGUAUGUAGUUUCGAUGCAAGAUUACGAUUUGGCGUGUUGCAGCCCAAUCAGGGAUGUUGGGUUCUGACUUUCUGCCCUGUGAUGAGUGUAGCUGCAAAGCAUUACAAGAAGGAUCUGGGUGCAUGUGUUCCAAAGGUAAAUGUGGUGGCAAGAAUG
Long non-coding RNA from Lolium perenne, 887 nucleotides. RefSeq lists it as uncharacterized. The record is from RefSeq and is a predicted model, not a curated record. NCBI's taxonomy places the organism in Eukaryota, Viridiplantae, Streptophyta, Magnoliopsida, Poales, Poaceae.